UCAACCUACGGGGGGCAGCAGUGGGGAAUUUUGCACAAUGGGGGAAACCCUGAUGCAGCGACGCCGCGUGAGUGAAGAAGUAUUUCGGUAUGUAAAGCUCUAUCAGCAGGGAAGAAAAUGACGGUACCUGACUGAGAAGCCCCGGCUAACUACGUGCCAGCAGCCGCGGUAAUACGCAGGGGGCAAGCGUUAUCCGGAUUUACUGGGUGUAAAGGGAGCGUAGACGGUAGAG
Molecule: ribosomal RNA, 232 nt
Filed under: uncultured bacterium
Lineage: Bacteria
Description: partial 16S ribosomal RNA
Rfam family: Bacterial small subunit ribosomal RNA
Source: RNAcentral